This 125-nucleotide small RNA is filed under the name Marmota monax (woodchuck). Lineage: Eukaryota; Metazoa; Chordata; Mammalia; Rodentia; Sciuridae. The record is from RNAcentral.
GCUGGGCGUGGUGGUGCAUGCCUGUAAUCCCAGCUGCUUGGGAGGCCUAGGCAGGAGGAUAGCAAGUUCAAAGCCAGCCUCAGCAACUUUGAGGGGCUGAGCAACUCAGUGAGACCCUGUCUCUA